Molecule: long non-coding RNA, 552 nt
Filed under: Cricetulus griseus (Chinese hamster)
Lineage: Eukaryota; Metazoa; Chordata; Mammalia; Rodentia; Cricetidae
Description: lncRNA (ENSCGRG00015038069.1)
Source: RNAcentral
UUCUUAUUUACGGUGUCCUGAACACACGAUGUCACAAAGAAUUAGCAACUUGGAAGCCCUGUGAAACUCAUGAAUACUAAAGAAGAUGUUACUGCCACUUUAUCAAGCCACUCCUGUGGCAGUAGACUCUAUAAGAUGGAAAAGUCACAACUGCAGCAGAGGCCAGAGCCAGAAGUUGAAAGUUGAAGAGAAAGCAUUAAGAGAACCAGAAGUUCUACAAACUUUUAAAGCCUGCUGAAGUGACAUACUUCCUUCUCCAUCAAGGCUCCACUUCCUAAAGGUUCCCUAACCUGUCUGAACAGUGCCACCAAUUGGGAACCACAUAUUUAAACAACUUUCAUAGUGCUGGAAAAUGCUAUUCAGGAUUGGAGAGGAAACCACAUCAAUGGACUUCAACAACACAAUCCUGUAUACUACAACAAUCAACCCACUGGACAAGAUGUGCCUACUGGUGCAGCAGUGACCAAACUGCUUAUGUAGAUAUGCAGCUGCUAUCUCAGUUGGAUUUGAGGCCUUUUUCACAAGCAUUAAUUCAUACCUGGUACUAUAAAC